AUCCACCCAGUAUUUCACAUCUCUCAAUUGCAGCCGUUCACCCCAGACUAUACUCCGGUGUUCUCUGAACUACCGCGAGUGCCGGACCUCGCCGGCGAGUAAACUGAACCAGUGGCAAUCCUGGAACGGCACAUGAUGAAGAAGGGGGGUGCUCCUUUGGUGCAACUGCACGUUCAAUGGGCAAACAUGUCACCGUCGGCCACAACCUGGGAAGAUAAUGACGUCCUUCGCCAUCGGUACCCGUCAGCUUGCAACAGGGAAGAGGCUUCAUCGCAAGAGGGAGGCAAUGUCGCGCCUACAGAUGCUGCUAACGCAUCAGCUGCGGACUGA
This 330-nucleotide ribosomal RNA is filed under the name Triticum aestivum (bread wheat). Its description in RNAcentral is "partial small subunit ribosomal RNA". Lineage: Eukaryota; Viridiplantae; Streptophyta; Magnoliopsida; Poales; Poaceae. The record is from RNAcentral.